Molecule: ribosomal RNA, 470 nt
Filed under: uncultured bacterium
Lineage: Bacteria
Description: bacterial SSU rRNA
Rfam family: Bacterial small subunit ribosomal RNA
Source: RNAcentral
AGUGAACGCUGGCGGCAGGCCUAACACAUGCAAGUCGAGCGGCAGCGGGAGUAGCAAUACUUGCCGGCGACCGGCGCACGGGUGCGUAACACGUAUACAAUCUGCCUAUAUCAGGGAGAUAGCCCGGAGAAAUUCGGAUUAAUAUCCCAUAACAUAGUUGAAUGGCAUCAUUUAAUUAUUAAAGUUCCGACGGAUAUAGAUGAGUAUGCGUCCUAUUAGCUAGUUGGUAGUGUAACGGACUACCAAGGCGACGAUAGGUAGGGGUACUGAGAGGUUAAACCCCCACACUGGUACUGAGACACGGACCAGACUCCUACGGGAGGCAGCAGUAAGGAAUAUUGGACAAUGGUGGCAACACUGAUCCAGCCAUGCCGCGUGCAGGAUGAAGGACCUAUGGUUUGUAAACUGCUUUUGUGCGAGAGAAAACCCUCCUACGUGUAGGAGGCUGAUAGUAUCGCAAGAAUAAGCAU